This 2487-nucleotide ribosomal RNA is filed under the name Maera inaequipes. Its description in RNAcentral is "18S small subunit ribosomal RNA". It matches the Rfam family "Eukaryotic small subunit ribosomal RNA". Lineage: Eukaryota; Metazoa; Arthropoda; Malacostraca; Amphipoda; Melitidae. The record is from RNAcentral.
CCUAUCUGGUUGAUCCUGCCAGUAGAUAUGCUUGUCUUAAAGAUUAAGCCAUGCACGUCUCAGUACUAACCCACGGUGCUUUUGCUCCGCGGUGAAACCGAAUGGCUCAUUAAAUCAGUCGUAGUCCAAAUGGGCUAGAACUUAACACGCAAUCCUGUACUUGGAUAACUGUGGUAAUUCCAGAGCUAAUACAUGCAACCAAUGCCCCGAAGGGAGCGACCUUGUGGACCUUCCUGACGGGUGCUUUUAUUAGACCAACCCACCGACGGCACUCGGGUUGCGAUGGAGCGCGCCUGCGUGUCUCCCUCUCGCUCUCCUUGUGUUCGCUCUCUUAACGUGUGUGGUGACUCUGGAUAACAAACAGAUUCGGCGUGCGCCUCUGGGUGCGCGCCGUGACGAGCGCACGCGAGAACUCCCUUAGUCGGGAAAGAACGCGGCGCCGCCACUUUCGAGUGUCUGUCUUAUCAGCUAUCAACCGCUCGCUAUGCGCGACCGAUGGCUUUGACGGGUGACGGGGAAUCAGGGUUCGAUUCCGGAGAGGGAGCCUGAGAAACGGCUACCACGUCUAAGGACGGCAGCAGGCCCGCAAAUUACCCAAUCCUAGCUCCUCAGGGAGGUAGUGACAAUACAUAACGAUGCGGGCGUCCCAGUCGGGGCCCCGCAAUCGGAAUGAGCAUGUGUCUUACCUAAACAACCUGUUUGAGAACCUACUGAAGGGCAAGUCUGGUGCCAGCAGCCGCGGUAAUUCCAGCUUCAGCAGCAUAUAUUAAAGUUGCUGCGGUUAAAAGGCUCGCAGUUGAAUGUCUGUGCAGAGAGCGACGGUUGGGUGGACGCUGGGGCCUGCGAGUUCGCUAAAACGCUUUCACGCAGCCCCCGUCCGUUACAUGCCCCCUCGCCCUGCUACGCCCAAAGUGAUACCAUACACGGAGUCUUCUCCUCGCUAAUCUCGCGGCGUUGUGCGCGCGCUUCCGUGCAUUCUCCUUCGGGGGUUUGUGCGUCUGUGCCGUGUGCGCGCCCGGGAGAGGAAAGUGCUCUCUUGGUUCUAUUGUCACGCCUUGAGUAAAUCAGAGUGCUCAAAGCAGUCGUGGGUGUUGCCCUUCGCGGGUGCAUCCACUCUUGUCCUUAACAGCAAGAGUCCGAGGCCUCGUGCGUUAACGCGCGCGGGGUCUUCCAAGGACUGGCUUGGUUCUGCAUGGCACGUCGGAACACGACAUCGCGAUCUGGCUAAUAUCGGUGGUGCAGGCCAGCCGCGAUGUAAUGAUUAACAGGGACGGUCGAGGGCAUUGGUAUUGCGCGGCGAGAGGUGAAAUUCUGUGACCCCCGCAAGACCUCCUGAAGCGAAAGCGUCUGCCAAGGACGUUUUCAUUAAUCAUGAACGAAAGUUAGAGGAUCGAAGGCGAUCAGAUACCGCCCUAGUUCUGACCCUAAACGAUGCCAACCAUCAAUCCGCGCGUAGCACCCUACCUAGCGGGCUCGGCGGGAAGCUCCUAUACCACGGGAAACCAGAGUCUCUGGGUUCCGGGGGGAGUCUGGUUGCAAAGCUGAAACUUAAAGGAAUUGACGGAAAGGCACCACCGGGAGUGGAGCCUGCGGCUUAAUUUGACUCAACACGGGCAAACUCACCAGACCAGACUCUGGCAUGAUUGACAGAUUGAGAGCUCUUUCUCGAUUCAGUGGAUGGUGGUGCAUGGCCGUUCUUAGUUGGUGGAGUGAUCCGUCUGGUUAAUUCCGAUAACGAACGAGACUCUCCCCUGCUAACACGGAAAAACACGCGUGUGGACGCGUGUCUCCUAGUCGGUUGGAUCUUGAUGAGAGAGUGGUGUGCGACGGAGACGUUGCUGGCGCUUGUGGGCUGUGCAUUCGCACCCUGUGUGUCUUGUACACGCUCCCUUGCUGUCGGUGGCUCUCUCGUUCGCGUACACUCCAAGUCCGCCGUUAAAGCGAGAGCGUGGUGUGGGGUCCUUCCUCGCACCCGCGAAUGUCUGUAUCUUCUUAGAGGGAUCAACGGCAAACAAGCCGUACGAAACUGAGAGCAAUAACAGGUCUGUGAUGCCCUUAGAUGCCCUGGGCCGCACGCGCGCUACAAUGUCGGACUCAGCGGGUGUUUUUUCUCUCUCCGAGAGGAGCGAGCAACCCUGUCAAAGUCCCUUACUAAACUGUUCUUGAGCAAAUGCGUUGGUUACUUCGGUGGCUGCGCAGAGCUUUUGACAUGGCGUGCUUGGGCCUGGGGCUUGCAAUUCUUUCCCACAAACGAGGAAUGCCUAGUAGUGGCUGGUCACGGAGCCUGCCGUGACUCAGUCCCUGCCCUUUGUACACACCGCCCGUCGCUACUACCGAUCGGGUGUACCAGUGAGAGCCUUGGACUGGCGCCCGGCGUUGCUCUCACUAGCAGCGCUUGGGUCGACGGAAAGAGGUGCGAACUGGUGCACCUAGAGGAAGUAAAAGUCGUAACAAGGUUUCCGUAGUGAACCUGCGGAAGGAUCAUUA